Molecule: microRNA precursor, 95 nt
Filed under: Caenorhabditis japonica
Lineage: Eukaryota; Metazoa; Nematoda; Chromadorea; Rhabditida; Rhabditidae
Description: pre miRNA CJA48618
Rfam family: mir-245 microRNA precursor family (bases 7-91)
Source: RNAcentral
GAAAAAUCAGUGUUGUAGAGCUGUUUGCAAGGUACCUAAUUGUUUGAAAUGAUUCUCAAUUGGUCCCCUCCAAGCAGCUCCAUCGCAUUCGAUUG